UACGUAGGGGGCAAGCGUUGUCCGGAUUUAUUGGGCGUAAAGAGCGUGUAGGCGGCUAGACAAGUCUGCUGUGAAAACUCGAGGCUCAACCUCGGGCUGUCGGCGGAAACUGUCUGGCUAGAGUCCGGAAGAGGAGAGUGGAAUUCCUGGUGUAGCGGUGAAAUGCGCAGAUAUCAGGAAGAACACCUAUGGCGAAGGCAGCUCUCUGGGACGGUACUGACGCUGAGACGCGAAAGCCAGGGGAGCAAACGGG
RNAcentral lists this ribosomal RNA (253 nucleotides) under uncultured bacterium. Its description in RNAcentral is "partial 16S ribosomal RNA". It matches the Rfam family "Bacterial small subunit ribosomal RNA", at positions 524 to 776 of the family's 1533-position model. The record is from RNAcentral.